Molecule: long non-coding RNA, 1200 nt
Organism: Cydia fagiglandana
Lineage: Eukaryota; Metazoa; Arthropoda; Insecta; Lepidoptera; Tortricidae
Exons: 3
Source: RefSeq, a predicted model, not a curated record
GUGCAUCUUGGCUACGCGGCCUGAUCUACAAAAUCUUGGAGCAGCCGCUUUCGUCGUAUGCCAUUAAAAAAAUUAAAACAUGCCCGUUAUUAAAAUUUGGUCAGUAGACCAAACAAUCAAGAAAGCUGUUCCAAUAAUGGACCCAACUUUAAAAAAUAUCAUUGAAAAAGGUGAGUAAAUCUAAAUUAAUUUGACUUUUCGUAAUGAAAUAUUUUUUGUGUAAUUGUAGAAUGUAGUGUAUUGUAGAAUAGACUAUAAUUGGAUACCUACUGUUAAGCAUUAAUGUGCUGACUCAAACCACAUUUAUUUUGCAGUAUGAUGUCAAUUUAAAAAUUUGACGCUUGAAGUUGACAAGAUAGAGCUGAUGCUGAACCCUGGCUGUACCUAGUGGAACUCAGGUUUGGUGCAACAUAGGCCCACGCUAUUUUGAUCAUCCGUCACAUAGAGGGAGAGCAAUACCCAAGAUAUAAUUCAUAAUCCAUUUUCUUCCAGAUGAGGUACCAUCCUAAAUAUAGUAGUUCCAUUUACUAAUCUUAUUAACUUUUUCUUUUCCAGGAACCAUUAACCAGGGUUCAAGUUGCAGAGCUAUCCGAAAUAGCUGCGCCUAACAUUGUAUUUUUAGAUAAUGAAAAUAUAAUUAUAUUACUUGCUGGUAGAAAAAACGAUUGUUAGCGAAACAGAUUCUGCCUACGUCGUUACAACUAUUGAUGGCGGCUUACUGCAACUUGAAUAUGGAAUAUCCAGUGGACUGUCAAAACACAUUAGAAUUUAUACAAAGGUAUAUUUUUAUUAAAAUAAAUCCUAAAGAAGGAAGUCAUAAGUAAUAGUUUUUGAUUUUUAAAAAGCGUUUUUCAAUUAAAAGACAUGUCAAGAUCGCUUAACUUCUUGCAAGUUCUUUCUAAUGCUAAAAAAACUAACUAUAAUUAAUGUCAGUAACAAACAUUUUCAGACAAUUCGUUACUUGAAAUGGUAUAGGUUUCACGCAUUAGAUUCACAUAGGCCUUAUUAACCGAAACUUUUAUAAGACUAAUUCAUAAGAAGUACUUAUGUACAUAAGAUAUAAUUUAUAGUGUCGUAUAUGUCUUCUACUUUUUGUACUCUGUCACAGAAUAAAUAAUAAUAAUAUGCACGUAGACGUGUAUAUACGCGUGUGCUCUAUAAUUUGAGUGUGUGAAAUUCAAUAAAUUUAUUUCUUUGUAA